Long non-coding RNA from Drosophila gunungcola (fruit fly), 7753 nucleotides. RefSeq lists it as uncharacterized. The transcript has 3 exons. The record is from RefSeq and is a predicted model, not a curated record. Lineage: Eukaryota; Metazoa; Arthropoda; Insecta; Diptera; Drosophilidae.
GCCAUAGGAACGAUUGCAAAAUGUAUAGCCAAAUCAUCAUAGCGUAACUGUAGUUAUACAUAAAGGCAUAAAAAUCGGAAUAUUGUUGUUGUUAAGAAGAGAUCGAUCCAUCUUCCACCAUCUGUUGAACGGAAGGUCCAUAAUAGCGUAUUUCCACCAUUCGUUGAAGGGAUGGUCCAUUAGGUUUUGCCGUUCAAAAAACUUCCCAGUUAGUCCGCCGUUAAAAUUUGACGGAUUUUGACAGACUAAUUUAUGCGAUAGUAAGCAGAUGCUCCUGGGGUGCAACCCUCUUUCCACGCAGUCCAUCCCUGAAAAACCGUUGGGAUUUUUGAAAAAAGUGAAACUCCGGUUUCCACAGAUCACAUCCACCUUCAAACGUUACGAUUUCAGCUGAACUUAGCAGCUGUAGCGCAUCAAAACUUAAACAAAGAUGGUUGACCUGUUGACUUUGUUUAUGUGCUCUGUGGAAAUCGGUGUUUCACAUUUGUUGAAAAUUCCAACCGUUUCCAACGGAUGGACUGUUGAAAUGGGGGAAUUAGGGAGAUAUGAGGGCCGGCACAAUAGGUAUGCUUGCUCGCCACAAUUUGCUAUACGCUAAUAAUAUCUUCCUCGCGGUCCAAUUCGUUACUGAUAAGAGCGAGGCAAGGCAAAAACAAUUUUUUUUAAUUCGGACGCUGAUGCACUUUGAUCAGUACAAACAAAUGGUCUUUACGACACCAAGUAAAGCUUGUGACGCGCGGAACCCUUCCCCUCGGGUCGUAUGAACGAGAUCGCAAGUGAAAAAAAAAGAUAUUAAAUGAACGGUCAGACUAAUUCAAAAUAUAAGCCAAACUAUUUACGUGUUAAGUAAGAUAAGAUUAAUGCUUUUAAAAUUGGUAAAGGGUCAGUAGCAGAAAUUAUUAUAAAUUUUACUUCUUUAGUUAUUUAGGCCAGUAAAAUAAAUAUUUCUUGAGAAUCAAAACGCGUGUUUCUUUACUUUCUUCGACAGCUUUUAGGUGAAGUGAUUAUCGUAUUGAUUUGAUACAAUCGAAAUGAUAAAAUCGAUAUGAUAUUUAAAGCGUCCUUUGACUUGCCGGGUAUUUUUGAAUUUGAAACAUUUUUCUUCAACUCUUACAAAAAUAACAAACUGGAAAAUUUUGUGACUAUAUAAAGCAAAGUAAAUGGUGUUUAUCUCAUUCAGAAAAGUCCAAUCUUGCUGCAAAGAAUCCGGAAACGAGUAUUAAGGAUCGGCUUUGUCAUUAUAUCUGCGAGUUGUUUCUCAGGCGGAAUUUGUGGGACCCCAAAUUUUUGCUCAGCAUUUUUUUCCCUGAUGAAGAAAUGCUAGUUGACUAUGUGCUUCAUCCGACGAUGGAAUUUGGUGUUUUGGGAGAGCCUCAUGGCAGCAGUAUUAUUGACCUGAAGAAUCGGGGCACUGUCCAAUCUGUCGAUUUCCUGAAACAAUCUUUUUAGCCAAAUUAUUUAGUUUGCAGCUCGAUUGCAGCUCGAUUAACCACCAUAGCCUGCCAUGGACUUUUCCAUAAAAUGGCUCCUGAGGCAAACAUGAUGAUGAUCCCUGAAGUAGACCACCCAGUCUUCGUGCAAUCACCCAAGCAAGCACCUCUGUAGCAUUCGAGGAUUCCAUUCUUGUGUUUCCGAUAGAAUAUACCAACGUUGAUUGUUCCGGAUAUGUAACGAAAAACAAUCUUUACUUGUUCAAUGUUUUUUUUUGCACACUCAGAAAAUUAUAGAACGAAAAAACCAAGAGCAAAUCUGCUCCAUUUCAGUAGUUUUGCUUUUUUUUUUUAUUUUAUUUAUUGAGAACACAUUUUGCUUAUCGAGAAGAUAAGAUCUCAAAAUCGAGAAUAAAUUAGUCUAAAAGUUAGAAAAAUUGAGAGAGAUAAAAAUUGUGAGAGAACUUCUCUCUCAAAUUUUUCGGGAAGUUACCGGAGUAUACUUCGGGCCCUGUCAAUUCUUUCUUUGAUUUAUUCAGUGUUAAAAUGUUGCAAGAUGCAGACAGCAGACGAUGAACCUGCUGGUGAAGCUAAAUCUAAUAGACGCGCAGUCCUAUUUGAACAGUUAGUAAAUAAUAUUUUAUGAGAUGAAAACUAUAAUAUAUAUUAUUAUUUACAUAUAUGUUAAACAAUAUAUUAUAUUAUAAUUUUAAUUCAACUUAUGCUAGCGUAAUGUGAAACAUAUUAAAUUGUUUUUGAAUAAAAAAGAGCGUGUAUUAAAUGUUUCAACUUUCCUUACAAAAAUUUGGAGAAGAAUAUGCGAAGCGUGGCGCUGCUACAAAAAAUAUAUAUAUUUAGAUUCACUAUACAACACGCGCUAAUACGGGUAUGACAUUACAUUGUUUGCAUCAUUCAUUGACGAAUUCAUUGAAGCUCAGAGACAGAGACAACUAUAUGGAUACUGCUUGAGAUAUUUUUGGUAGUAAGUUCACGGUCACACUGCCUUUUUAACGUUAAAUUCAAACUUUAUCGUUUUGUUUAUUAUUUUGUUUUCUAUCCGUUUAGUCGUCAACUCCAAUCAAUGAGCAAGAUUUUGCUACAAGUUUGGAACUUAUAAGUUAAUGCGCUAGUCACUAAGAGUUGCAAAUAUUUAAUUGUUACAUUAUACUUAAAACUUAUUUUCAUAAAAACUAACCUAAGUCGUUCUAUUGAAAUCGUCAUAGGUUGUCUUGCUCGCACUUACGUAAAAUCGUAUAGUUCAAAAAAAUAAACGAGCAAUGAAUGAGGUGAACAAUUUAGUGUCAUAAGCCCAUAAGUAAAAUCAAAGAUUAAACACGUGUUGUAACAUAGCUUUUUACUGAUUCUUAUAGCCUGAUUCCAUUGGCGCAUUAAAACGCAUUUAGCCUAAUGCGCAUUUGUUUAUAGCCUGAUUCCAUUGGCGCAUUAAAACGCAUUUAGCCUAAUGCGCAUUUAUUUACACAGGGAAUCCCAUAAGGCUAAAUGCCGCAUUUAAAAUAAAUGCGAUUUUUAAAUGCGAUUAAAAACCAUUCGCCCCGAACAUUUUUAAAUAAAAUACCGGAAAAUACCGAUGCUGAACGAUAUUUGGUUCGUGCCACCACUACAACAGCUGUUUUCUAUAUGCAAGGUUGGCGCAAUUUUUGAUGUCUUUUGAAUAUAAAAUCUAUUUUGUAUAAAAAUGACUGAAAUCUACGGCGCAGGCUGCAAUGCAGCGUGGCAGUACCACAAUGCAUUACUGAUGGAUCUCUGGCAUUAAAUAACUCCCACGUAUACGGGGAUCCUAGCCCUUUUUGGAAACUGUGGUGGUCUCCAUUGCAAACCCGUCAUAACAACGCAAUCAGCUUCUCUUCCUUGUCGUCCAAGUUGGCAAAUGCCUUGGUCGCAUUAUAGAUGUCCUGCUGAGCAUUACAGAGUUUAGUAAACUCACUCAUGUUCAUUAAUUUUAAUUAAUUUCUUUUGGAUUUGCCAAAAUGCAUAAGUAAACAAACGCAGAUCAGCUGCUCGUGCCACUCAAAUGUCGGAGUAGCAUUAGCUAAAUGCUAAUGCGCCAAUGGAAUCAGGCACAUUUAAAAAGUCCACUAAUGCGGCAAUGGAAUCAGGCUAUUACACAGGGAAUCCCAUAAGGCUAAAUGCCGCAUUUAAAAUAAAUGCGAUUUUUAAAUGCGAUUAAAAACCAUUCGCCCCGAACAUAUUUAGAAAAAAUACCGGAAAAUACCGAUGUUGAACGAUAUUUUGUUCGUGCCACCACUACAACAGCUGUUUUCUAUAUGCAAGGUUGGCGCAAUUUUUGAUGUCUUUUGAAUAUAAAAUCUAUUUUGUAUAAAAAUGACUGAAAUCUACGGCGCAGGCUGCAAUGCAGCGUGGCAGUACCACAAUGCAUUACUGAUGGAUCUCUGGCAUUAAAUAACUCCCACGUAUACGGGGAUCCUAGCCCUUUUUGGAAACUGUGGUGGUCUCCAUUGCAAACCCGUCAUAACAACGCAAUCAGCUUCUCUUCCUUGUCGUCCAAGUUGGCAAAUGCCUUGGUCGCAUUAUAGAUGUCCUGCUGAGCAUUACAGAGUUUAGUAAACUCACUCAUGUUCAUUAAUUUUAAUUAAUUUCUUUUGGAUUUGCCAAAAUGCAUAAGUAAACAAACGCAGAUCAGCUGCUCGUGCCACUCACAUGUCGGAGUAGCAUUAGCUAAAUGCUAAUGCGCCAAUGGAAUCAGGCACAUUUAAAAAGUCCACUAAUGCGGCAAUGGAAUCAGGCUAUUACACAGGGAAUCCCAUAAGGCUAAAUGCCGCAUUUAAAAUAAAUGCGAUUUUUAAAUGCGAUUAAAAACCAUUCGCCCCGAACAUAUUUAGAAAAAAUACCGGAAAAUACCGAUGUUGAACGAUAUUUUGUUCGUGCCACCACUACAACAGCUGUUUUCUAUAUGCAAGGUUGGCGCAAUUUUCGAUGUCUUUUGAAUAUAAAAUCUAUUUUGUAUAAAAAUGACUGAAAUCUACGGCGCAGGCUGCAAUGCAGCGUGGCAGUACCACAAUGCAUUACUGAUGGAUCUCUGGCAUUAAAUAACUCCCACAUAUACGGGGAUCCUAGCCCUUUUUGGAUACUGUGGUGGUCUCCAUUGCAAACCCGUCAUAACAACGUAAUCAGUUUCUCUUCCUUGUCGUCCAAGUUGGCAAAUGCCUUGGUCGCAUUAUAGAUGUCCUGCUGAGCAUUACAGAGUUUAGUAAACUCACUCAUGUUCAUUAAUUUUGAUUAAUUUCUUUUGGAUUUGCCAAACUGCAAAAGUAAACAAACGCAGAUCAGCUGCUCGUGCCACUCACAUGUCGGAGUAGCAUUAGCUAAAUGCUAAUGCGCCAAUGGAAUCAGGCACAUUUAAAAAGUCCACUAAUGCGGCAAUGGAAUCAGGCUAUUACACAGGGAAUCCCAUAAGGCUAAAUGCCGCAUUUAAAAUAAAUGCGAUUUUUAAAUGCGAUUAAAAACCAUUCGCCCCGAACAUAUUUAGAAAAAAUACCGGAAAAUACCGAUGUUGAACGAUAUUUUGUUCGUGCCACCACUACAACAGCUGUUUUCUAUAUGCAAGGUUGGCGCAAUUUUCGAUGUCUUUUGAAUAUAAAAUCUAUUUUGUAUAAAAAUGACUGAAAUCUACGGCGCAGGCUGCAAUGCAGCGUGGCAGUAUCACAAUGCAUUACUGAUGGAUCUCUGGCAUUAAAUAACUCCCACAUAUACGGGGAUCCUAGCCCUUUUUGGAAACUGUGGUGGUCUCCAUUGCAAACCCGUCAUAACAACGUAAUCAGUUUCUCUUCCUUGUCGUCCAAGUUGGCAAAUGCCUUGGUCGCAUUAUAGAUGUCCUGCUGAGCAUUACAGAGUUUAGUAAACUCACUCAUGUUCAUUAAUUUUGAUUAAUUUCUUUUGGAUUUGCCAAAAUGCAUAAGUAAACAAACGCAGAUCAGCUGCUCGUGCCACUCACAUGUCGGAGUAGCAUUAGCUAAAUGCUAAUGCGCCAAUGGAAUCAGGCACAUUUAAAAAGUCCACUAAUGCGGCAAUGGAAUCAGGCUAUUACACAGGGAAUCCCAUAAGGCUAAAUGCCGCAUUUAAAAUAAAUGCGAUUUUUAAAUGCGAUUAAAAACCAUUCGCCCCGAACAUAUUUAGAAAAAAUACCGGAAAAUACCGAUGUUGAACGAUAUUUUGUUCGUGCCACCACUACAACAGCUGUUUUCUAUAUGCAAGGUUGGCGCAAUUUUUGAUGUCUUUUGAAUAUAAAAUCUAUUUUGUAUAAAAAUGACUGAAAUCUACGGCGCAGGCUGCAAUGCAGCGUGGCAGUACCACAAUGCAUUACUGACGGAUCUCUGGCAUUAAAUAACUCCCACGUAUACGGGGAUCCUAGCCCUUUUUGGAAACUGUGGUGGUCUCCAUUGCAAACCCGUCAUAACAACGCAAUCAGCUUCUCUUCCUUGUCGUCCAAGUUGGCAAAUGCCUUGGUCGCAUUAUAGAUGUCCUGCUGAGCAUUACAGAGUUUAGUAAACUCACUCAUGUUCAUUAAUUUUAAUUAAUUUCUUUUGGAUUUGCCAAAAUGCAUAAGUAAACAAACGCAGAUCAGCUGCUCGUGCCACUCACAUGUCGGAGUAGCAUUAGCUAAAUGCUAAUGCGCCAAUGGAAUCAGGCACAUUUAAAAAGUCCACUAAUGCGGCAAUGGAAUCAGGCUAUUACACAGGGAAUCCCAUAAGGCUAAAUGCCGCAUUUAAAAUAAAUGCGAUUUUUAAAUGCGAUUAAAAACCAUUCGCCCCGAACAUAUUUAGAAAAAAUACCGGAAAAUACCGAUGUUGAACGAUAUUUUGUUCGUGCCACCACUACAACAGCUGUUUUCUAUAUGCAAGGUUGGCGCAAUUUUCGAUGUCUUUUGAAUAUAAAAUCUAUUUUGUAUAAAAAUGACUGAAAUCUACGGCGCAGGCUGCAAUGCAGCGUGGCAGUACCACAAUGCAUUACUGAUGGAUCUCUGGCAUUAAAUAACUCCCACAUAUACGGGGAUCCUAGCCCUUUUUGGAAACUGUGGUGGUCUCCAUUGCAAACCCGUCAUAACAACGUGAUCAGUUUCUCUUCCUUGUCGUCCAAGUUGGCAAAUGCCUUGGUCGCAUUAUAGAUGUCCUGCUGAGCAUUACAGAGUUUAGUAAACUCACUCAUGUUCAUUAAUUUUGAUUAAUUUCUUUUGGAUUUGCCAAACUGCAAAAGUAAACAAACCCAGAUCAGCUGCUCGUGCCACUCACAUGUCGGAGUAGCAUUAGCUAAAUGCUAAUGCGCCAAUGGAAUCAGGCACAUUUAAAAAGUCCUCUAAUGCGGCAAUGGAAUCAGGCUAUUACACAGGGAAUCCCAUAAGGCUAAAUGCCGCAUUUAAAAUAAAUGCGAUUUUUAAAUGCGAUUAAAAACCAUUCGCCCCGAACAUAUUUAGAAAAAAUACCGGAAAAUACCGAUGUUGAACGAUAUUUUGUUCGUGCCACCACUACAACAGCUGUUUUCUAUAUGCAAGGUUGGCGCAAUUUUCGAUGUCUUUUGAAUAUAAAAUCUAUUUUGUAUAAAAAUGACUGAAAUCUACGGCGCAGGCUGCAAUGCAGCGUGGCAGUACCACAAUGCAUUACUGAUGGAUCUCUGGCAUUAAAUAACUCCCACAUAUACGGGGAUCCUAGCCCUUUUUGGAUACUGUGGUGGUCUCCAUUGCAAACCCGUCAUAACAACGUAAUCAGUUUCUCUUCCUUGUCGUCCAAGUUGGCAAAUGCCUUGGUCGCAUUAUAGAUGUCCUGCUGAGCAUUACAGAGUUUAGUAAACUCACUCAUGUUCAUUAAUUUUGAUUAAUUUCUUUUGGAUUUGCCAAACUGCAAAAGUAAACAAACCCAGAUCAGCUGCUCGUGCCACUCACAUGUCGGAGUAGCAUUAGCUAAAUGCUAAUGCGCCAAUGGAAUCAGGCACAUUUAAAAAGUCCUCUAAUGCGGCAAUGGAAUCAGGCUAUUACAUACUUAUAUAUGAUCAUUCACCCCGAACGUUUUUAGAAAAAAUACCGGAAAUUGCCGAUUUUUAACGAUAUUUUGUUCAAGCCACCAUAUAGAGGUGGCAAAAAUGGCACAAUUUUUUAUUUCCUUCGAUAACAAAAUCUAUGUUGUAUAAAAAUGUCUGAAAACAAAAGCGCACGCAGCAAAUUCUGGUCGCAGUACCACAAUGCAUUACUGCUGGAUCUCUCGGCACAUUUAAAAAGUCCACUAAUGCGGCAAUGGAAUCAGGCUAUAAGAAAACAAAAAAACACAUAUGUACAUACUCUGCAACAGCGUCAC